GAUGAACGCUAGCCACAGGCUUAACACAUGCAAGUCGAGGGGAAACGACAUCGAAAGCUUGCUUUUGAUGGGCGUCGACCGGCGCACGGGUGAGUAACGCGUAUCCAACCUGCCCACCACUUGGGGAUAACCUUGCGAAAGUAAGACUAAUACCCAAUGAUAUCCCACGAAGACAUCUGAAUGGGAUUAAAGAUUUAUCGGUGAUGGAUGGGGAUGCGUCUGAUUAGCUUGUUGGCGGGGUAACGGCCCACCAAGGCAACGAUCAGUAGGGGUUCUGAGAGGAAGGUCCCCCACAUUGGAACUGAGACACGGUCCAAACUCCUACGGGAGGCAGCAGUGAGGAAUAUUGGUCAAUGGGCGAGAGCCUGAACCAGCCAAGUAGCGUGCAGGAAGACGGCCCUAUGGGUGGUAAACUGCUUUUAUAAGGGAAUAAAGUGGGUCACGUGUGACUUUUUGCAUGUACCUUAUGAAUAAGGACCGGCUAAUUCCGUG
This 492-nucleotide ribosomal RNA is filed under the name uncultured bacterium. RNAcentral's name for it is "partial 16S ribosomal RNA". It matches the Rfam family "Bacterial small subunit ribosomal RNA", at positions 28 to 507 of the family's 1533-position model. The record is from RNAcentral.